CCACAUUGGGACUGAGACACGGCCCAAACUCCUACGGGAGGCAGCAGUGGGGAAUAUUGGACAAUGGGCGCAAGCCUGAUCCAGCCAUGCCGCGUGAGUGAUGACGGCCUUAGGGUUGUAAAGCUCUUUCGCUCGGGACGAUAAUGACGGUACCGAGAUAAGAAGCCCCGGCUAACUUCGUGCGAGCAGCCGCGGUAAUACGAAGGGGGCUAGCGUUGUUCGGAAUUACUGGGCGUAAAGCGCGUGUAGGCGGGUCUUUAAGUCAGGGGUGAAAUGCCAGGGCUCAACCUUGGAACUGCCCUUGAUACUGGAGAUCUUGAGUCCGAGAGAGGUGAGUGGAAUUGCGAGUGUAGAGGUGAAAUUCGUAGAUAUUCGCAAGAACACCAGUGGCGAAGGCGGCUCACUGGCUCGGAACUGACGCUGAGACGCGAAAGCGUGGGGAGCAAACAGGAUUAGAUACCCUGGUAGUCCACGCUGUAAACGAUGGAUGCUAGCCGUUGGGGAGCUUGCUCUUCAGUGGCGCAGCUAACGCUUUAAGCAUCCCGCCUGGGGAGUGCGGUCGCAGAUUAAA
Molecule: ribosomal RNA, 571 nt
Filed under: uncultured soil bacterium
Lineage: Bacteria
Description: bacterial SSU rRNA
Rfam family: Bacterial small subunit ribosomal RNA
Source: RNAcentral